RNAcentral lists this ribosomal RNA (400 nucleotides) under uncultured bacterium. RNAcentral's name for it is "bacterial SSU rRNA". It matches the Rfam family "Bacterial small subunit ribosomal RNA", at positions 355 to 772 of the family's 1533-position model. The record is from RNAcentral.
UAGGGAAUAUUGGACAAUGGGGGCAACCCUGAUCCAGCCAUGCCGCGUGAGUGAUGAAGGCCUUAGGGUUGUAAAGCUCUUUCAGCGGGGAAGAUAAUGACGGUACCCGCAGAAGAAGCCUCGGCUAACUCCGUUCCAGCAGCCGCGGUAAUACGGAGGAGGCUAGCGUUGUUCGGAAUUACUGGGCGUAAAGCGUGCGUAGGCUGUUUUCUAAGAUGAGUGUGAAAGCCCGGAGCUCAACUCCGGAACUGCGCUCAUGACUGGAAGACUGGAGUCCGAGAGAGGUGAGUGGAAUUCCCAGUGUAGAGGUGAAAUUCGUAGAUAUUGGGAAGAACACCAGUGGCGAAGGCGGCUCACUGGCUCGGUACUGACGCUGAUGCACGAAAGCGUGGGGAGCAAA